RNAcentral lists this ribosomal RNA (497 nucleotides) under uncultured bacterium. RNAcentral describes it as "partial 16S ribosomal RNA". It matches the Rfam family "Bacterial small subunit ribosomal RNA", at positions 28 to 507 of the family's 1533-position model. The record is from RNAcentral.
GAUGAACGCUGGCGGCGUGCUUAACACAUGCAAGUCGAGCGAACAGACGCGGCGCUUGCUCCUCUGACGUUAGCGGCGGACGGGUGAGACACACGUGGACAACCUAUAUAUCAGACAGGGACCACUUCGGGAAAGCGGAGCUACUACCGGGUAAUAUAUUGAACCGCAUGGUUUUAUAGUGAAUGACGGUUUUGCUGUCGCUUCUAGAUGGAUCCGCUCCGUAUUGGCUAGAUGGUAAGGCAACGGCUUACCAAGGCAGCGACGGGUAGCCGACGGCAGAGGGUGAUAGCCCGCACGAGAACGGGGCCACGGACCAGACGCCUGCGGGAGGCAGCAGAAGGGAAUCUGCCGCAACGGGCGAAAGCCUUGCGGAGCGACGCCACGUGAGUGAUGAAGAUCUUCGGUGCGUGAAACCCUGUUAUGAGGUAAGAACAAAUUUGUAAGUAACUGUGGACGUCUUGACGGUACCUAAUCAGAAAGCAACGGCUAACUACGUG